GACGAACGCUGGCGGCGUGCUUAACACAUGCAAGUCGAACGGAAAGGCCCUGCUUGCAGGGUACUCGAGUGGCGAACGGGUGAGUAACACGUGGGUGAUCUGCCCUGCACUUCGGGAUAAGCCUGGGAAACUGGGUCUAAUACCGGAUAGGAGCCAUUUUUAGUGUGAUGGUUGGAAAGUUUUUUCGGUGUAGAAUGAGCUCGCGGCCUAUCAGCUUGUUGGUGGGGUAAUGGCCUACCAAGGCGGCGACGGGUAGCCGGCCUGAGAGGGUGGACGGCCACAUUGGGACUGAGAUACGGCCCAGACUCCUACGGGAGGCAGCAGUGGGGAAUAUUGCACAAUGGGCGCAAGCCUGAUGCAGCGACGCCGCGUGGGGGAUGACGGCCUUCGGGUUGUAAACUCCUUUCGCUAGGGACGAAGCUUUUUGUGACGGUACCUAGAUAAGAAGCACCGGCUAACUACGUG
Molecule: ribosomal RNA, 465 nt
Filed under: uncultured bacterium
Lineage: Bacteria
Description: partial 16S ribosomal RNA
Rfam family: Bacterial small subunit ribosomal RNA
Source: RNAcentral